CCUACGGGUGGCAGCAGUGGGGGAUAUUGCACAAUGGGGGGAACCCUGAUGCAGCGACGCCGCGUGGGUGAAGAAGCGCCUCGGCGCGUAAAGCCCUGUCAGCAGGGAAGAAAAUGACGGUACCUGAAGAAGAAGCCCCGGCUAACUACGUGCCAGCAGCCGCGGUAAUACGUAGGGGGCAAGCGUUAUCCGGAUUUACUGGGUGUAAAGGGGGCGUAGACGGCGAGGCAAGCCAGGCGUGAAAGCCCGGGGCUCAACCCCGGGACUGCUCUUGGAACUGCGUGGCUGGAGUGCAGGAGGGGCAGGCGGAAUUCCUGGUGUAGCGGUGAAAUGCGUAGAUAUCAGGAGGAACACCGGUGGCGAAGGCGGCCUGCUGGACUGCAACUGACGUUGAGGCCCGAAAGCGUGGGGAGCAAACAGGAUUAGAUACCCUAGUAGUC
RNAcentral lists this ribosomal RNA (440 nucleotides) under uncultured bacterium. RNAcentral describes it as "partial 16S ribosomal RNA". It matches the Rfam family "Bacterial small subunit ribosomal RNA", at positions 338 to 795 of the family's 1533-position model. The record is from RNAcentral.